Molecule: unclassified non-coding RNA, 292 nt
Filed under: uncultured Pseudomonadaceae bacterium
Lineage: Bacteria; Pseudomonadati; Pseudomonadota; Gammaproteobacteria; Pseudomonadales; Pseudomonadaceae
Description: contains 16S-23S intergenic spacer region
Source: RNAcentral
GGACUACAGGGGUAUCUAAUCCUGUUUGCUCCCCACGCUUUCGCACCUCAGUGUCAGUAUCAGUCCAGGUGGUCGCCUUCGCCACUGAUGUUCCUUCCUAUAUCUACGCAUUUCACCGCUACACAGGAAAUUCCACCACCCUCUACCGUACUCUAGCUUGCCAGUUUUGGAUGCAGUUCCCAGGUUGAGCCCGGGGAUUUCACAUUCAACUUAACACACCACCUACGCGCGCUUUACGCCCAGUAAUUCCGAUUAACGCUUGCACCCUCUGUAUUACCGCGGCGGCUGGCAC